This is a non-coding RNA of Coffea arabica (coffee), 792 nucleotides long. Lineage: Eukaryota; Viridiplantae; Streptophyta; Magnoliopsida; Gentianales; Rubiaceae. The record is from RefSeq and is a predicted model, not a curated record.
CAAUUUUUAGCACCAGCAGAUGGCUUAUGAAAUCAGUGAGCAAAAGAAGGUUGGCAUAGGUCUUGUUGGUUUUGGGAUCCUCUUCUCAUUUCUUGGCAUCAUUCUAUUUUUUGACAGGGGUUUGCUUGCUCUGGAAAUGUAAGAGAGUAGUUUGUAAUUAAGAUUUGCUUAUUAGAUGAUAUCCAAGUAUAGAAUAAAAAAUUACUUGAGUCUAUAAAAAAUUACUUGAGUCUAUAAAAAAUUACUUGUGUCCAUCUCAUGCCUUUGUUAGUAGAUAUUAUGGUUGGGCAGGUGUUGCCCUUUUACUGGGUUGGCGGUCGACACUGCAACUUUUUACAGACAGAAGGAACUAUAAGGGAUCUGUUUCAUUUCUUCUUGGGAUGUUCCUCAUAUUUGUUCGUUGGCCAAUAGCUGGUAUAAUCACAGAAUUGUAUGGCUGCGUUUUUCUCUUUGGUGGAUUUUGGCCAUCUAUUAAGGUAUUUCUCUAUCAGAUUCCGCUACUUGGAUGGCUGCUGCAGUAUAUCCGACACUGAUUCUUGAUCGUCUAUGAUAGCUUCCUGUUUGAUCUUCUGCUUACGUUGCUCAGUUCAAAACUGCCUCCUGGUUGAAGGACUGAAAAGCAUGAAUUUUUUCCAGUUGAAGGACAGAAAGACUUCAUCAAAUUUGCAGAAGCAAUCAAAGGACCUACUAACAAAGUGUUAAAGCAGAUGAUUUACAAUUUUUAUCUUCAGUUAAUAUUUGGGAUUAUGUAUUCUAAUGGCUGUCAAAUGUAAUUAUAUUGUCUUCAUCCUA